Molecule: long non-coding RNA, 2096 nt
Organism: Bufo gargarizans (Asiatic toad)
Lineage: Eukaryota; Metazoa; Chordata; Amphibia; Anura; Bufonidae
Exons: 3
Source: RefSeq, a predicted model, not a curated record
UGAGAGUUUUUGUUGUUUCCAUAGUGAGAAAGAGGCGGAUACGAGAGAUGUUUUUGAGGUGCAGGUGACAUGAGCGGGAGAGAGAUUGAAUAUAGGGGGUGAAAGAAAGAUCAGUGUCAAAAGUCACCCUGAGAUAAGAUUUAGUUUCAGAUAGAGAGAGGACAUAAUGUUAGGGACGGCAGAGAGACAGUCACUGGUGUUCUGUAAUACAGCAGGUGUGAUGUCAGGGGAUGAAGUGUAUAGUUAUGUGUCAUCAGCAUAGAGAUGGUACUGGAAGCCAAAUCUGCUGAUGGUCUGUCCAAUUGGUGCUGUGUACAGGGAGAAGAGGAGAGGGCCUAGGACUGUACCCUGAGGAACUGCAACAGCGAGUGGGAGAGAUGAGGAAGUGGAGCUAGCGAAUGAUACACUGAAAGAGCGACCAGAGAGAUGGGAAGAACACCAGGAGAGGGCGGUGUCCUUUAGGCGGAUAGAUUGGAGCAUGGCAAGCAGGAGAUGGUGGUCUACAGUGUCAAAAGCUACAGAGAGGUCAAGGAGAAUGAGGAGAGAGUAGUUACCAUUGCAUUUUGCUGUCAGGAGGUCAUUUGUCACUUUUGUGAGGGCAGUUUCUGUAGAAUGCAGGGAGUGGAAACCAGAUUGUAAUGGAUCGAGGAGAGAGUGAUCACAGAGAUAGUGGGUAAGGUGAGAGUAGACCAUACGCUCCAGGAGUUUAGAGAUGAAGGGAAGAUUGGAGACUGGUCUGUAGUUAGUUGUGCAGGAUGGGUUGAGAGAUAUUUUUUUUUAUUAAUGGAGUAAUGAUAGAGUGUUUGAAAGAGGAGGGGAAGAUACCAGAGGAGAGGGAGAGGUUGAAGAUUUUUGUUAGGUGAGUGGUGACAGCCGGAAAGAGAGACUGGAGUAGGUGUGAGGGAAUGGGAUCAGAGGCGCAAGUGGUAGGACGAGAAAAAGCCUGGAGACUUCUUCCGUGACUGGGUCAAAUGUGGACAGUGAGAUGGGGGGGGGGGGGGGUGAUGAAUAGUACUUAGUGUCUGGGAGAUGAUUUCAUGACGGAUAUGUUCUAUUUUCUCUGUGAAGUAGGCAGCUAAGUCUUCAGCAGAGAGGUCUGUGGUGGGUGCCUGAACUUUAGGACUGAGGAGGGAUUGGAAAGUGUCAAAGAGUUUUUUUGGGUUGUUGGACAGUGAGGAGAUUAGAGUGGUGAAGUAAGUCUGUUUAGCCAGGUUGAGGGCAGAGUUAUAGGUCCGUAGCAUGAACUUGUAAUGGAGGAAAUUCUCGGGUGUGCGAGUUUUCCUCCAUAGGUGUUCAGCAUGUAAGCCAGGGUUGCUUUGGUCUGUGUUUGAAGGUUCUGAGGGUAGGGGCGCUACUUUGUCCAGGGGGCUUCUUAGGGUGUCAUUGUAGUGAUUUACAGCCUUAUCGGGGCAGGAAAGGGAAGAGAUUGGGGACAAUGAUGCAUGUAGAGUGUCUGUAAGUGUAUGAGGGUCGAUGGCCUGUAGGUUUCUGUGCAUGUAAUAGGUAGGGGAGUGCUGGGAUGGAUGCAGAUUUGUGAGUGAAAGAAGGUUUUUCCACCAACACAGAAGGAGGAGUCUUUACUGUAAGAGCAGCGAGUAUAUGGAGCUCUCUGCCAGUGGACGGGGGUCAUGGGGGAUUCUCUAGAAGUGUGCAGAAGGGGCCUGGUGGUCUAGAGGGUAAUGAUAUUCCAGCUUCUAGUGAUCCAGGGAGGGAUUCUGACUUUAGAUCUGGAGUCAAUGUUUCUCUACAUCCACAGGAUUAUACCAUAGUGAAGAAGACAUUGGGGGGGACUCCCAUCAUCCACGGGUCAGGAGGGUGGAGCAGGACCUCCAUCUCAGAGCCUCGCCCCCUGGUACAUGAGCAGAAGAUCCUAGAACUUACCCACAAGAUGAUGGAGCUGCUGACUGGAGAGGUUCCUGUAAGGUGUCAGGAGGUGGCGGUCUAUUUCUCCAUGGAGGAGUGGGAGUACAUAGAAGGACACAAAGAUCUGUACAAGGAGGCCAUGAUGGAGGCUCCCCGGCCUCUGACAUCACCAGAUGGAUCCAGGAGGAGAAAUCCCCCCAAGAGAUGUCCCCGUCCUCUGUAUUCCCAGGACU